Molecule: ribosomal RNA, 465 nt
Filed under: uncultured bacterium
Lineage: Bacteria
Description: partial 16S ribosomal RNA
Rfam family: Bacterial small subunit ribosomal RNA
Source: RNAcentral
GACGAACGCUGGCGGCGUGCUUAACACAUGCAAGUCGAACGGAAAGGCCCUGCUUGCAGGGUACUCGAGUGGCGAACGGGUGAGUAACACGUGGGUGAUCUGCCCUGCACUUCGGGAUAAGCCUGGGAAACUGGGUCUAAUACCGGAUAGGAGCCAUUUUUAGUGUGAUGGUUGGAAAGUUUUUUCGGUGUAGGAUGAGCUCGCGGCCUAUCUGCUUGUUGGUGGGGUAAUGGCCUACCAAGGCGGCGACGGGUAGCCGGCCUGAGAGGGUGGACGGCCACAUUGGGACUGAGAUACGGCCCAGACUCCUACGGGAGGCAGCAGUGGGGAAUAUUGCACAAUGGGCGCAAGCCUGGUGCAGCGACGCCGCGUGGGGGAUGACGGGCUUCGGGUUGGAAACUCCUUUCGCUAGGGACGAAGCUUUUUGUGACGGUACCUAGAUAAGAAGCACCGGCUAACUACGUG